RNAcentral lists this ribosomal RNA (121 nucleotides) under Streptocarpus formosus. RNAcentral's name for it is "partial 28S ribosomal RNA". It matches the Rfam family "Eukaryotic large subunit ribosomal RNA", at positions 1 to 120 of the family's 3401-position model. The record is from RNAcentral. Lineage: Eukaryota; Viridiplantae; Streptophyta; Magnoliopsida; Lamiales; Gesneriaceae.
GCGACCCCAGGUCAGGCGGGAUCACCCGCUGAGUUUAAGCAUAUCAAUAAGCGGAGGAGAAGAAACUUACAAGGAUUCCCCUAGUAACGGCGAGCGAACCGGGAAUAGCCCAACUUGAGAU